Molecule: long non-coding RNA, 225 nt
Filed under: Penaeus japonicus
Lineage: Eukaryota; Metazoa; Arthropoda; Malacostraca; Decapoda; Penaeidae
Description: uncharacterized LOC122259547
Source: RNAcentral
GUGGUGGAAGGACCUACCUGGUGUCUGUGGGUGUCGCCAAGGCGGCCGAAGCGGGCAAUAUGAAGUUGUACUUCCUUUUGUUUAUCUGUGUGGUGGUACACGGGGAGCUGAAUGGAUCUCCCAGCGGCGACGACCCUCCCGCGCAGUCCCCGAUGGCUCCCGGGGCGAGUGGCAAAGUAAUGCUGGACAUGCCGAUGGCCAGGAGCCUCCGAGCCCUCGAGAGGG